This 497-nucleotide ribosomal RNA is filed under the name uncultured organism. Its description in RNAcentral is "SSU rRNA". It matches the Rfam family "Bacterial small subunit ribosomal RNA", at positions 8 to 509 of the family's 1533-position model. The record is from RNAcentral.
AGAGUUUGAUCCUGGCUCAGGAUGAACGCUAGCUACAGGCUUAACACAUGCAAGUCGAGCGGAACUACUUCGGUAGUUUAGCGGCAGACGGGUGAGUAACACGUAUCCAACCUUUCCCUCACUCGGGUAGUAGCCUCGGGAAACUGAGAGUAAUCCCCGAUGAAGUGUACGAGGAGCAUUUUUUGUCACACCAAAGAUUAAUCGGUGAGGGUGGGGAUGCGUUCCAUUAGCUGGUAGGCGGGGCAACGGCCCACCUAGGCGAUGAUGGAUAGGGGUUCUGAGAGGAAGGUCCCCCACACUGGAACUGAGACACGGUCCAGACUCCUACGGGAGGCAGCAGUGAGGAAUAUUGGUCAAUGGGCGCGAGCCUGAACCAGCCAAGUAGCGUGAAGGAUGACAGCCCUACGGGUUGUAAACCCCUUUUGCGCGGGGAUAAACCGGCGGACGCGUCCGCCGCUGCAGGUACCGCGCGAAUAAGGACCGGCUAAUUCCGUGCC